GCCUCUAUGGUCUAGUGGUACGAUACUCCGUUUGGGCUUGUCCAGUCACACUGGCAAAGCGAUUCGGAGUGGUCCUGAGUUCGAUCCUCAGUGGAGGCC
Molecule: non-coding RNA, 99 nt
Organism: Tulasnella sp. UAMH 9824
Lineage: Eukaryota; Fungi; Basidiomycota; Agaricomycetes; Cantharellales; Tulasnellaceae
Source: the annotation of a GenBank genome assembly